CUCCUCCCAACUCUGCGCAGGGCCAAGCCCUUCUGCCCCGCACCGUCCCGUUACCCCUGGACCUCGGGCCGCCAGCCCCUUCCACCUGCAGUCUCCCGCUGCUCUCGCGGGGGCUUUUCGUGUGUCCCCCGAGAUGUCGAGGAAGCCAGAUGAGUUCCUCGCGACAGGCGGUGCCUUUUGCAGGAGGGGACAGGUAGCUGAGGCCUGGACAGAAUGACAGGCCAGGCUCAGGGGACACAGGGGAGACCCCCUCACUGGGCUGCCAGUUCCCGGGCUUGGGGCAUCCCAGGACGUCAGCGUCUGCAGCCUUACCUCCUGACACCUAAGGCCAGAGACAGAGCGGGCCCACGCCUUCGGAGGUCCUGAUGUCCAGCUUGGAGGUCAAGGGCAAAGCCACCACCUUUCACAAUACGAGGCCAGACCACCUGCCUCCCGCCAGUCCCUGCGGCCUGGAGACCGAGUCAACAUUCUUAUCUGUGUUGGUUCUGAAUGUUCCUCCUUGCAAAAGAAAACAAGGAGUGGACGUUCAGGCUGAUGGCCAGCUUCAAAGAUUGGGGCCUUUGAUUCCCAUCGCUGGGAAGAAAGCCCUUCAGACAAGCCCCCUGGGCUGCGGUGCAUGGGGACCUUGAAGAACCCGUACCCAUGGUCCCACGUCCAUGUAUGUUGAGACCUGUCACAUCCUCGCUGAAACUCAAGAACGUGAAACAGAGCCCAGUUCUCCCGCGGUGACUGUGAUCCUUCUUCCUGGGGAGUCCUGCUCUCCCUGACCAGGGGCACCUGCCCACCUGUCAGCUGCUCCUCCCUCAGCUGGUCCUCCUGGGCUCUGAUGGCCCCAACAUUUCUAGCUCUUCUCACCCACGGUGCCCCAGCUUCAUGCAGCUGCAGCAGGACACAGUAACAAGCUGUCAUCUUGGGAGGAGACACCAGGCCCUGACCAGACGCUGAACCUGCGCAGCCCCCAGAACUGUGAGAAAUAAAUUUCUGUUCUUUAUAAA
Long non-coding RNA from Macaca mulatta (Rhesus monkey), 995 nucleotides. RefSeq lists it as uncharacterized. The record is from RefSeq and is a predicted model, not a curated record. NCBI's taxonomy places the organism in Eukaryota, Metazoa, Chordata, Mammalia, Primates, Cercopithecidae.